UUCCUUCAGUGGUCCCUUAGAAACAGGAACUUCACGCGCCGGUGAUUUCCGUCGUGGUGAAUCCCCUAAUGAAACAAAUACGGGGAAGCCCGAGGGUCGAUAGUUUCAUCGCCCUAUAUAGUGGUAAAACCCGCUCUAAAACAGGACUUGGUGAACGUCACUUCACAGACGUGCAUUUUCUAGCAGUGAUUCGAGCAGACAUGGCGGGCAAAGUACUACUAGGGUUCAAACCAAGGCCACGACUCGCCAUGCUGCGUUUACUAAUCGGCGGCUUGCUUGUACAAACAGCGUUAGGUGCUGAAGAAAUAUAUGCCGAUGAGGGAAGUUCUGUUGUACUACCAUGCGAGGUGACCUUUGACCCGUCAGUGUCGCUAUUCUGGGAGAUUGUCCAACACCACCAGGGGCAUAAUAUUCAGAUUCUUUUCAAA
Molecule: long non-coding RNA, 428 nt
Organism: Branchiostoma floridae (Florida lancelet)
Lineage: Eukaryota; Metazoa; Chordata; Leptocardii; Amphioxiformes; Branchiostomatidae
Exons: 3
Source: RefSeq, a predicted model, not a curated record